Molecule: ribosomal RNA, 574 nt
Filed under: Austrochlus brundini
Lineage: Eukaryota; Metazoa; Arthropoda; Insecta; Diptera; Chironomidae
Description: eukaryotic LSU rRNA
Rfam family: Eukaryotic large subunit ribosomal RNA
Source: RNAcentral
UUCAAUACUGUCGUUAAACAUAGUGUGCACUUUUCUCUUAGUAAGACGUUGUGAUCCAUUAGAAAUUGAUAUCUGUAUAGGAUAUUAUUGGGCUAUCAAUAGACUGUUAUGAAGUUCAUCAAUUGGUAAACAGUAAGAUCGUUUAUGAUUUUGCAUAUUAUCUGGUGAGCAUAACAUGUUCUGGUGUAGCUGUCUGAUGGAUUUUAAAGGUUAUAUCAUUAAUGUUACGGCAUUACCCCAUUUAUAUGGGGCAUGUGGAUAUGUACCCGAUCAACAACGGUUAAAUUUGGGAUACCUUUGGGACCCGUCUUGAAACACGGACCAAGGAGUCUAUCUAGUAUGCAAGUAAAUGGGCAUAUGAAACCUAUUUGCGUAAAUAACUUGACUGUAUGGGAUUACGAAUCAAUUAUGGUUCCUCCAUCCCGGGGUAUUUUUAUCAACAUAUAAGCAAUUAUAUGGAAAAUAUACCAUGAGCAUACUGGAUAUGACCCGAAAGAUGGUGAACUAUGCCUGAUCAGGUUGAAGUCAGGGGAAACCCUGAUGGAGGACCGAAGCAAUUCUGACGUGCAAAUCG